Panicum virgatum (switchgrass) is the source of this 678-nucleotide long non-coding RNA. RefSeq lists it as uncharacterized. The record is from RefSeq and is a predicted model, not a curated record. NCBI's taxonomy places the organism in Eukaryota, Viridiplantae, Streptophyta, Magnoliopsida, Poales, Poaceae. The transcript has 2 exons.
GCAACGAGCUGCAAGCGGACGCCGCCGCAGCCAGACGCGCCGCAUGGUCGCAGUGGCGCAACCGGGCGCCGGCCGCCGCCAUCGCUAUUGGCUCUCCCUCCCCGCCGGCAGGUGAAAUCGCGAGCCUCGACGACGCCGGGCCGGAGCAUUGUGCGGAGGAAAUCACGGCUAAGUCAAAAAGAAAGACACAGACACUUCUUUCAUUUUACAAGAAGAUUGAAGGUGCAGUUGGGGAUCUACAAGUACAAGGGCAAGAUGAUUUGGCUGAUCAGGAUCAGAACCCUCAAUCUAAUGAAAAUGUUGUACUUGAAGAUGAGGCUCCAAGCAGGCAACGACAGAGCGUGCAUUUUCAGCAAUGAAACUUCUCAAGACAAGACUUCGCAACAAAAUAGAAGAUGAAUUUCUAAGGAAUUGCAUGUUAAUCUAUAUUGAGAGGGAGAUUGCUAUUAAGUUCACGACAGAUUCAAUUAUUGAUGAUCUCUAUGCGAAGAAGAACCGCAAAGUUCGACUAAAAUGAAAUCGUUUGUUUUCACUAGCCCACCCUUUUGUAAAGUGUAGCUACCUUUUGUAAUAUGGUUCCUGGCUGCAUGAAUGAACAAUGAAAAUUUGGUGUCAACUGUCAAGUACACCUAAUCAUUGUAUUCUCCAUAUCCAAUGAAUAUAUGUUGACUUACCGUG